CCUACGGGUGGCAGCAGUGGGGAAUAUUGGGCAAUGGAGGAAACUCUGACCCAGCAAAGCCGCGUGAAUGAAGAAGGUCUUCGGAUUGUAAAGUUCUUUAGUCAGGGAAGAAGCCAAUGACGGUACCUGAAGAAUAAGCUCCGGCUAACUACGUGCCAGCAGCCGCGGUAAUACGGAGGGAGCAAGCGUUGUUCGGGAUGACUGGGCGUAAAGGGUGCGUAGGCGGUUGUACAAGUUAGAAGUGAAAUACCCAGGGCUUAACUCGGGUGCUGCUUCUAAAACUGCAUGACUUGAGUGCAGUAGAGGUUAGUGGAAUUCCUAGUGUAGCGGUGGAAUGCGUAGAUAUUAGGAGGAACACCAGUGGCGAAGGCAGCUAACUGGACUGCAACUGACGCUGAGGCACGAAAGUGUGGGGAGCAAACAGGAUUAGAUACCCUAGUAGUC
RNAcentral lists this ribosomal RNA (444 nucleotides) under uncultured bacterium. RNAcentral describes it as "partial 16S ribosomal RNA". It matches the Rfam family "Bacterial small subunit ribosomal RNA", at positions 338 to 795 of the family's 1533-position model. The record is from RNAcentral.